Molecule: non-coding RNA, 559 nt
Organism: Vicugna pacos (alpaca)
Lineage: Eukaryota; Metazoa; Chordata; Mammalia; Artiodactyla; Camelidae
Source: RefSeq, a predicted model, not a curated record
CGCUGUCUUGUUGUAGGGGAGUGAAGUGCUGUUUCGCGGCAUGUCGGCUCCUCGGGCAUUUUCCCAUUUGGGCAGCUUACCUCCUCGAAUCCCUCUCCAGCCCCCUUCGGCUGACAAGAGGCGGCGGACGGGAGAGGCGGCCUCCGCCGGGCCAGCUGCGGUGAUUAAGGGCUGUUAACCGGCCCGGGGCGCCAGGUCCACACCUGCUCCUUAUAUCCGGGCUUCUCUGGCUUAGUUUGUUCCGAGCUCUCCAGGGAAGAUCCACGCUUUCCUCCGCUCUGUCGGGUAAGGAGUACAGCUGCUCUGAGACUUCCACAUCAUGAGAAGAGAUGCUCAGGCCGUGAAGGGCUACCCUGGACAAUAAGAUGCUUCAUAGAGAGAAAGACCAAAGAAGCUAAAUAUCCCGUUUCAUGGUGAAGUAGCCACUUUUCAGUGGCACCUGCAUCCCUAAUGACCCCUUCCAGCUGAUGCGAUGUAAGUCAGGGACAAAUGACCUAGAUGAGUUCUUCUAAAAUUCCUUUCUCUCAAGUUUAUGAAGAAAAUAAAGUGAUCAUUUUGA